RNAcentral lists this transfer RNA (82 nucleotides) under Fibrobacter sp. RNAcentral describes it as "tRNA-Ser". It matches the Rfam family "tRNA". From Rfam's summary of the family: Transfer RNA (tRNA) molecules are approximately 80 nucleotides in length. Their secondary structure includes four short double-helical elements and three loops (D, anti-codon, and T loops). Further hydrogen bonds mediate the characteristic L-shaped molecular structure. tRNAs have two regions of fundamental functional importance: the anti-codon, which is responsible for specific mRNA codon recognition, and the 3' end, to which the tRNAs corresponding amino acid is attached (by aminoacyl-tRNA synthetases). tRNAs cope with the degeneracy of the genetic code in two manners: having more than one tRNA (with a specific anti-codon) for a particular amino acid; and 'wobble' base-pairing, i.e. permitting non-standard base-pairing at the 3rd anti-codon position. RNAcentral also lists the same sequence under 2 other names. The record is from RNAcentral. Lineage: Bacteria; Pseudomonadati; Fibrobacterota; Fibrobacteria; Fibrobacterales; Fibrobacteraceae.
GGAGGACUAGGAUAAUGGUAAUCCAACGGUCUUGAAAACCGUCGCGGGCGACCGCUUGGGGGUUCGAAUCCCUCGUCCUCCG